GCGUAAACAAGGAUUGACUGUCUGCACGGCAGAAACGUACCGGUCUUAUGUGAAUACUGCUGUUUUGUUCAUUUAGCACCUGGUUGAUAAGGGCAAAAGCUCUUACGGUGUGUUCAAGUGCGUAAGGAAUUCAUGAAGCUACAGUAUCUGUUGCAUCAAAAUAAAACACUAUGAACCAUCAGUUGAAGAGCAUCAAUCAGACCAUCAGUCAACCGGCCGUACAGGAGAGCCACCCAGUGCCCAAUAGUAUGUGUCUGCAGACCCGGAGACUGCAGAUUCAGGCCCGCAGUUUUGAGACCCGCAGUUCUAGGCCCCUCGCAGCGACACCUACUGGACUGGACCCGCAGUACAGGACCCGCAGUUCUAGGCCCCUCGCGUGCGCCACCUACUGGACUGGACCCGCAGUACAGG
RNAcentral lists this long non-coding RNA (411 nucleotides) under Myripristis murdjan (pinecone soldierfish). RNAcentral's name for it is "lncRNA (ENSMMDG00005014770.1)". Lineage: Eukaryota; Metazoa; Chordata; Actinopteri; Holocentriformes; Holocentridae. The record is from RNAcentral.